Molecule: long non-coding RNA, 2876 nt
Filed under: Sorghum bicolor (sorghum)
Lineage: Eukaryota; Viridiplantae; Streptophyta; Magnoliopsida; Poales; Poaceae
Description: long non-coding RNA (SBIC_LNC004022)
Source: RNAcentral
CCCGCUAAUCGCCCCUCCUCUCGUAAACAUGCCACCCUUCCCGCAAUCUCCUUCAUGCCCUCCCCCUGCACAACCGUCGCCCGCCCACGAUGGUCCCCAUCCUCUCCGCAAGCCGCUCCACCUCCCCGCUCGUCCACGGUCUGCCCAUCGCGCCCGCUACCCCACAGUCUGCGCACCCUCCACGACGUCAGCACCACCUCCUCCAUGCCACCUCCACGCGUGCGCUGCGCCGCCUCCACGCUGCCGGCGCUGCUUCGCGCCGCCUAGGAGAGCGGCCAGGAGAUCUUGAUGCUUGACCAUGGAGGGAGAGGACGCCGCCAUACGCCGAGGGAUUGCCAUCACUAAUUAGCGCAGGAAUCUACUCAACUACAGGGAGCGCUAGGAGAUCUUGACGAUUGGCUGAUGGGGAGGACGCCGCGGCAGGAAGUUGCUCAACUGUAGGGGACUCGAGUCCCACGAAAGGCACCGGUGAGUCAUCUGAUCCCCUUCUAUCCUCAAUCCUCAGUCCUCACCCACCCCUCUUAGUACGUGUGGACUCACCAGUAAAAUUGGGUGUGGAUCAAAUUCAUCCAAUAAUUUAACAUGUGCUUGUGAACUCAUGACUCGCCAGCGUCUUUUGAUCAUUCAUUCCUUUUCUAAGUCAUCUCCCUGCAGUCGCAAGAGCUAGAUGGUGCUCUGCUUCUGUGCCGUUCUGUAGUGGGGCUGCUGUUUGAUUGGAUUUUUUUCAAAUGGCCAGCGGUGCUGAAUUGCUGGUUUGAUAUGGUUGUAUUCGCGUCAUGAUCAGAGCUUUUGGUGUUGAGCUCUUGCCUAUCGAUGCCUCGGAACCGUACUUUCUAUACUUAAUUGAUGAUGCAUUUGUUGUUCUUAUUUGUAACUUGGCAACUACUGCAAAUACAAGAGAUACUUAUUAAUUCUUCGUUCAGUCUUUUUGAAGUCUUUAGUAUGUCAGAGCAUUCCAGUGACAUUUCGAUAGUGGUGUUUCAGAGUAUUCCUGGAUAAUUUUAGUAUAGCUCAAAACCAAGACAGGGAAAAACAUACUAUUAAGUAACGUUUCAAAAUUUUGUGGAUUAGCAAUAACAUAGCUAUAAAAUUAUUCUAUCACGUGUAACCAAAGUUCCCUUGGAUUCUCUUUUUUUCUUAAUGGAAAUGUUAAUCCUGAUAAAUCAUUACAGACAACCAGUGAGAUCAGAUUCUCUAGAAUUUUCUAAUUUAGGUGUUGCUUCAAAGUUCAGUGUCUCCAAAAUAUCUUGAGAAGAAUACAUAAUUCAACUCCUGCUACAGCUCAUGCAUUCAUGUAUUUGUGAACUUUAGGAAAUGUGUGCUUAGAAAAAAGAAAGGCACAUGCAAUUUAGCUACCUAGAGUAUUCAAGGAAACCUCUUGCGUGUUUAAUAAAAAAAGAAUAAUAGAAUACAAAGAAAUACCUAAUCCAUAGAACUGUUCAGGCAGUUAGUUUCCUUUGAGAUGAUCCCUUUCUCCAGACCAGUGGCACCUAUGUGCACUAUAUAGUUGUUUUGCAUCCAAUGGCAAAUCUAGACUUCUCAAGAUAACCUCUAUCAGACUUCUUAAUGCUUAGUUAUCUUUUUUACACAAGAGAUCAUUCAAAAGGUGAUACUAACACUGGUUAAUAAAAAGAUUGUCAAGAUUUUUUUUAGAAAAAGAAGAAAAAAAUUAUGGCGGGCUGAAAGGGCAAUGGUACAAUAUCAAUCAACCAAGGUGCAGACUAAGAUACUGCUAUGCAGUGUUGCUCCUCUAUGAGGCUCGAGGAUUUUAUGUGCUUGCAGCCUGAUGUGUUAAAAUAGAAGCUCUUCAAAGUUGUGAGACUUAAUCUCUUGCUUUGUUCUCGUUGUUGACAUUUCAGAAUUCAGAAAAAUAGAACCCACCAAGUAGGGACAUGCGUAAACCAAAGUGCCCAGUCUAAAUGAGGCAAUCAAGGCCACAAAUGAUGAACCCAUCUUCAAAUCAAAGCUGGCAUUAUCAAUCAACCAACUUCCAAUGAAGACUACAGGCGAUGAACCCAUGGUUAUAUUUCUCAACAAAUAUCUAAAUUUCAAAAUUGCUAUUUAAAUUGAUUUGCAAACUUCCAGGUGGCUUUUAUUUCCCCAUGUCAUUGUGAUCAUACAUCAUCAUAUUUUUGCCCAAUGCUAUAGGACAUUGAGUUACUGAAUCAAUCUUAUAUGUGUCCGUUGAUAAGGAUCUUUGCACAAUAUUUCUUUUUGAAGAAUAUAUUUACACAACAUAAAACAUGACUUUUGUAUGCCUCAUGUUCAAGGUCCGUGAACAUUUUGAUAUGAAGAUCUACAUGAUGUCACAAGCCCCGUCUAGAGACUGAUAACAAGCAUCAUCAUCUAGAAAACCUUCUCAUUGGAACUGUGCUAUUGACAACAGUCCUUGGCCUUAAUGUAACUUAGAUAUACGUUGUUCUGCCCUUGAUUCUUUUUUGGAACUGUUCUGCAACCUAAUUCUACUGAUUUGUACCAUGUACAUGAACACGUUCAUAGAACAUGACUUAGAGGUUGUGACUAUGGUUGCUGAAAUCAUGUUGCUAAAAUAUGUUAUAAAGCUUCUUAGCUUUCUACCGUACAGCUAUAAAUUAUAAGAUUUUAUGUAUGUAUAUGUAUUACCUGUAGCAACGCACGGGCACUUAACUAGUGAACUAAAAAGCAGCAUUUUUUUUUCUUCUCCAUUUAUAUUAAGGAAUCAUCUCAUAGGGUUACCUAGGGAGCUUGAGCACGCCCUCAGUCUUUCUGAAAAAGUUGGGUCUGAUUCGAAACGCCUGAAGUUUACAGAGAGGUUGGGCGCACAAAACAAGUCAUUCAUGUUUUGGAAAAAAAAAACAAGUCAUUCAUUAUUUGGCCAGAGUCGAUGGGAAAAAAAU